UACGGGGGGAGCAAGCGUUGUUCGGAUUUACUGGGCGUAAAGGGCGGGUAGGCGGCCACUGCAAGUCGGUUGUGAAAUCUCCGGGCUUAACCCGGAAAGGUCAAUCGAUACUGCAGGGCUAGAGUGCAGAAGGGGCAACUGGAAUUCUCGGUGUAGCGGUGAAAUGCGUAGAUAUCGAGAGGAACACCUGCGGCGAAGGCGGGUUGCUGGGCUGACACUGACGCUGAGGCGCGAAAGCAUGGGGAGCGAACAGG
Molecule: ribosomal RNA, 254 nt
Filed under: uncultured bacterium
Lineage: Bacteria
Description: partial 16S ribosomal RNA
Rfam family: Bacterial small subunit ribosomal RNA
Source: RNAcentral